UCCACACACCAGCCUAGGGGAAGGCGGGCCCAGCGGAAGUGCGGGGCGCCCAGUAGGCGCUGGGUCGCUCCGGCGGGCGGAAGUGCGGGGCGCAGGACGGAAGCGGUGACACAGGCGGAAGCGGCGGCUCAGAAGCAAAAUGCUCUGGUUUCAAGGAAAUAGCAUGCAAUUUGCCAACUACUCCUUUAAACUCUUCCUGAGAAAUCUCUCUGCCUCCAGGACUGUUUUGCCUGUGUUGACCUUAUUCACAAAGGAUCCAUGUCCCCUUUGUGAUGAAGCUAAGGAAGUACUGGAGCCUUAUAAAAACAGGUUUAUUUUACAGGAGGUGGACAUCACACUUCCAGAAAACUCUGCUUGGUAUGAGAGGUAUAAAUUUGACAUUCCCGUCUUUCAUUUGAAUGGCCAGUUUCUGAUGAUGCAUCGAGUAAACAUCUCAAAACUUGAAAAACAGCUCCAGAAACUUGAGCAGCAAGGUACUGGAAGCUGAUGAAAGCCCUCGUGAUUUUCCGCCCUCGCUGUCCAGAAGGCAUCUUCCCAAGGAAGUGACCAUGGCCUUGUAUUCCUGUGGUCAACUGUCACACAGCCUAAUAAGCUAAUGCUUUAAAAAGGAGUGGAAUAAACAUUGAAUUUGGUACUGCAUGUUGCUGAUCUUAGUUACAGUGCUGCUGUCUUCCAGAUGUCUCACCAGAGCAUUCUCAGUAAUUCUGGCCAGUUUAUCACAGGAAGCAGAGAUUUGCUCAGGGUAAGGUUGUUUUGUUUGUUUAUAAUAAUCCAGCAACUCGUAGAUGUCUGACAGUAGGAUCAUAGUAGGGCCAGGCCUCAGGAAGUAUUCUGAAGGAACCAUAGAAAUCGAAGCAGAACCCUUCUCACUGUGCCUCAGCUUCUUUCUUUUCCUCUUCUCUCCAGGCUCACCACCUCCCCUGUUUACUCAGAGGAUCAGCUUUCUCAGAGAGAAAGACCUCCCCUCCCACACCUGCAGCAUGUUCUUGCCCAUCAUUCCUGCUGACCCUUCUGUACAUUAAUGGUCUGAGACUUUCAGCUUCUCUAUUCUGAAAUCCCAAAAGAGGAAUUUUGCUUAUCUAGUUUUUACAGCCAGUUACCCAAGUCGUGUAUUAGCUAAUCAAACUUACAGAGUUACCAUUGGGUCAGGUGCCCAUCCCUUGCCCAAUCAACUAUAGGAACCAUGAUCAUUUGGU
Molecule: RNA transcript, 1196 nt
Organism: Pipistrellus kuhlii (Kuhl's pipistrelle)
Lineage: Eukaryota; Metazoa; Chordata; Mammalia; Chiroptera; Vespertilionidae
Gene: CUNH5orf63
Gene name: chromosome unknown C5orf63 homolog
Exons: 5
Source: RefSeq, a predicted model, not a curated record